Molecule: long non-coding RNA, 506 nt
Filed under: Ananas comosus (pineapple)
Lineage: Eukaryota; Viridiplantae; Streptophyta; Magnoliopsida; Poales; Bromeliaceae
Description: long non-coding RNA (ACOM_LNC043513)
Source: RNAcentral
UCUAAUAUGGCUAAUUGAAGCCCAUCUGAACGUCAGUUUAUGCUCAAAUUUAACCAGCAAUCUCAAUUAAAGGUAAUCAGUAGUAAUUUAUCUUAACUUUUCAGUUUUGAACUAUUUUUUGUCACUGAAAGUUCUACCUACUAGAAUCUUUAGCAGAUAGCAGUUAUGUUCUGUUUUCACUCUCCGGAUGUCGGAAUGAUAUGAAACUUUUAAUUUAACAUUAUAAAAAUAAUUCUAACAUAUUCUUAAAUUUUCAUAAUUUUCUGACAUUGUGAACUUUUUGCUUAAAAAUAAAGCUCCGUUCCUUACGGAAAAUUCUAAAUCUUAUAUUUUCAUUUCAAGUUCACCAUAAAUUAUUUCAAAAUUAUCUUUUUUUUCUCUACGUCCAAUAAAAAUAGUAUUUCAUACUAUUUUUAUUUACACUUACUUCUAUAUUAAAAAAAAUUCGGUAUACUACAUUCCACCCCCUUUAAAAAAAAGUUUUACUCAUAUUCAAUCCUCAGCUC